UUAUUUCUCCUCUCUACGACUUUUUCAUCUUCUUCGUUUCUCUCUGUCUCGAGUCAACAAUCCGACAAACACAAAGCUUUCAAUCUCUUUUCUUCUUUUUUUUUCUCUCUUUUCUCGAUUCCAUCGAUACUCAUUCAUCUUUUUCAUCUUCCCUCUUCACUCGUUUCUAUCGAUCCAAAGAUCCGUCCUCUCCCUUCUUCUUCGUGAGAAAUUCGCAGUGAAAUCGAGAAAUCCGCCGUGAGAAAUCCGCCGUGAGAACUCCGCCGUGUCUUCUCUUUGUAAGAUUUCAUUUGUUUGAUCCCUAAUUUUGUUUUAUUGUGUUGGGUUUAAUUAGGAUUUGAUUUCUUCCAAUUUAUUCUUCUAUGUGAGGGUUUGAUAUGUAAUUCUCUUUGAUUUUGUUUGAAACAAAUGCAUUUUGAAUGGAAUUUCGAUUACAAUUAGGAUUUUUUAUGAUUACAGUUCGGAUUUUAAGAUUACUAAUAGGAUUUGAAUUACAAUUCGGGUUUGAAAUUCGGACGACAUGUAGCUACUUUUUCUUGUUUUUAUUUGGAGAUAUUGAGUGAAAGUUGUAACUUUGUUUGUAAACUCUUCUUAAAAUGAUUGAUUUCUCUUGGUCAAUUUUGGAAGAAAUCUGGUUUCAAGUAAGUUAAUAAGGAGUGGAUUGCAGACAUAGAUGAAAUUUUUUGUACGUAUAUAUUAGCCUAUAACAUUUGUUUCUCUAUUACGAGAGGAGGAAAAGGAAAAGGAGACUGAGACUGAGACUGAGAAGGAGAAGGAGAAAGAGAAGGAUAAGGAGAAGAAGAAGCAGAAGAAGACUUGGUGUGUUCAGAUGUGUUUUGGUUUCUAAUGUUAUGUAUGAAUCUAAGUGUUUAGGUACAACUGGUACACUUAUGUACAACUAUGUAUCUGGGUUUGUAUGAAUCUAAGUUUUUUUGACAGAAAAAUCACCAAAAAACUAUGAGUCAAAGUGUUUUGAUCAAAAAAUUCACAACAACACUAUGAAUCUACUAAGUAU
This 1015-nucleotide long non-coding RNA is filed under the name Arabidopsis lyrata. Its description in RNAcentral is "long non-coding RNA (ALYR_LNC001550)". Lineage: Eukaryota; Viridiplantae; Streptophyta; Magnoliopsida; Brassicales; Brassicaceae. The record is from RNAcentral.